GUGGGGAAUAUUGGACAAUGGGCGCAAGCCUGAUCCAGCAAUGCCGCGUGUGUGAAGAAGGCCUGCGGGUUGUAAAGCACUUUCAGUUGGGAAGAAAAGGGUUGGGCUAAUAUCCCGAUCUCUUGACGUUACCGACAGAAGAAGCACCGGCUAACUCCGUGCCAGCAGCCGCGGUAAUACGGAGGGUGCGAGCGUUAAUCGGAAUUACUGGGCGUAAAGCGUGCGUAGGCGGUACGUUAAGUCGGUUGUGAAACCCCUGGGCUCAACCUGGGAACUGCAUCCGAUACUGGCGAACUGGAGUAUGGUAGAGGGGAGUGGAAUUCCGGGUGUAGCGGUGAAAUGCGUAGAUAUCCGGAGGAACACCAGUGGCGAAGGCGACUCCCUGGACCAAUACUGACGCUGAGGCACGAAAGCGUGGGUAGCAAACAGGAUUAGAAACCCUGGUAGUCC
Molecule: ribosomal RNA, 450 nt
Filed under: uncultured bacterium
Lineage: Bacteria
Description: bacterial SSU rRNA
Rfam family: Bacterial small subunit ribosomal RNA
Source: RNAcentral